RNA transcript from Haliotis rubra (blacklip abalone), 2276 nucleotides. It is a transcript of the gene named histidine ammonia-lyase-like, with no coding region annotated. The transcript has 23 exons. The record is from RefSeq and is a predicted model, not a curated record. NCBI's taxonomy places the organism in Eukaryota, Metazoa, Mollusca, Gastropoda, Lepetellida, Haliotidae.
GCCGAUGGCAGCCAUUGACAGAACACUGUUUGAACACUGAUCGUCAACGUUAUACUCUUGCGUGGGAGAUCCGUAGUUUACGAUGAAGCUUUCCCUGAGGAUUAGGGGGGAAUGGUUGGCGCUUCCUUGUAAUGGCAAGGAGAAGAUCUCCUGGCUUGGAGGCGAGGGGCUGAAGCGGUACUACAAGACGAAGAGCAAUGUUGGUCAUGCAGAGGAGACUGUGUAUGAGAUUCGCAAAGCUAAGGGUGGGGCUAUACUGGACCCCGACGACGCCGUGAGGGACGUCCUGGAUGACAACGACUUCGUCACUGUUGUUCUGGACAGUGACAUGUCAAGUCCGGUAACCGGACCGGCUGAGAUCGUGUACAUGGAGGAGAAAGUACCUAAAGCCAGUGUGAAGACGGCAUCAGAUUAUAUCUCGCUGGAUGGAAACAGCUUAGCCGCGGACGAUCUCGUGAGACUUGGGAAAGGAGAGUUUCUUGUGAAGUUAACAACCGAGGCCGAACAAAACGUACAGAAGUCACGUGACCUUGUGGAUGAGAUACUCGCUAGUAAUAAAGUUGUCUAUGGAAUCACAACAGGAUUUGGUAAAUUUGCUCGGACUACCAUACCUAAAGAUAAACUUGUAGAACUCCAAGAAAACCUCAUCCGCUCCCAUGCAGCAGGUGUUGGUCCCCCGUUGUCCCCCGAGAGGACCCGGAUGUUGCUGGCUCUGCGUAUCAAUGUCCUCGCCAAGGGCUACAGUGGCAUCUCCUUGGAAACUCUGGGACAGUAUAUGGCAGCGUUUAAUGCAUCCUGCCUUCCAUGGGUUCCCCAGAAGGGAUCGGUGGGGGCUAGCGGAGACCUUGCACCUCUCUCUCAUCUCGCGCUAGGCAUGAUGGGAGAGGGGAAGAUGUGGUCGCCGAAGAGUGGAUGGGCUGAUGCUAAAUAUGUACUCGAGUCUCAUAACCUCACUCCGAUAAAGCCCAAGCCUAAAGAGGGCCUUGCAAUGAUAAAUGGAACACAACUUAUAACAUCUUUAGGAGUUGAAGCUAGCGAGAGGUCGGAGUCCAUUACCAGACAGGCAGACAUUGUCGCGGCCAUGACCUUGGAGGUACUGAAGGGUUCAACAAGGGCAUUCGAUAGCAAUAUUCAGAAAGUGCGACCACACAAAGGCCAAGGUCUGGUUGCUAGGCGACUAAGAUCACUCCUUCAUUCUGAAACACAUCCAUCUCAGAUAGCAGAGAGCCACAGGUUCUGUGACCGGGUUCAAGACGCGUACACGCUAAGGUGCUGUCCGCAGGUGCACGGCAUCGUGAACGACACUGUGGCCUUCGUCAGGGGCAUCCUGGUCACCGAGAUGAACAGCGCCACAGACAACCCUAUGGUGUUUGCUGAGACUGGCGAGAUUCUGUCAGGGGGGAACUUCCACGGGGAGUACCCGGCCAAGGCUCUGGACUACCUUGCUAUCGGGGUGCACGAGCUGGCCAACAUGAGCGAGCGACGGAUAGAGAGACUUGUUAAUCCGGCUCUGAGUGAACUCCCAGCCUUCCUGACUAAAGAGGGCGGACUCAACUCGGGCUUCAUGAUCGCCCACUGUACAGCAGCAUCUCUAGUGUCCGAGAACAAGGUGCUGUGUCACCCAUCGUCAGUGGACUCGCUGACCACCAGCGCUGGGACGGAGGACCACGUGUCUAUGGGGGCCUUCUCCGCCAGGAAGUGUCUCAGGGUCGUGGAACACGUGGAACAAGUCUUGGCAAUCGAGUUACUGGCAGCCUGCCAGGCGAUGGAGUUUCUGCGACCCCUGACGACGACGCCGCCCCUGGAAGAGGUGCACAAGCUGGUCCGGUCAGUCGUCGGCCCCUGGAACAGAGACAGGUUCAUGGCUCCGGACAUCGAGGCAGUCACCAAGCUUCUACAGGAGGAAAAGAUCUGGAGGAAGGUGAAGCCGAUGAUGGACAACUACCACUCCGUACAGACAAUCGAAACCAGGGUGUUCUCUCCCACCACCGCCAGACUGGACGGACCACCCCCCAAACGCCGGAGAUACAACAGCAAGACCGUGAAAUAACUCCUAGAUACAACAGCAAGACUGUGAAGUAACUGCCAAAUACAACAGCAAGACAGUGAAAUAAUAUAGGGCAGACAGGUGACCUCCGCAUAAGCAAGGUCGAGCAUCAGUUUGAUCACCCUGGUGUUAUUGACUAAAGAAGUAGUUGAAUGAUGCUCAUACGAACUUUAACACACAUGCUGGUGACAGGUGUCUUAACUUGGUUUGUAAUAAAGAAGAAAUUGUU